AAGCAAAGAAGAAAAAGGCGGGCCAUCUUCCCGGAAAAGAGAUAAAAAGACUUAGAUAUUGUGGAAUAUAAUUCAAUUACUCAAUUAGCUGAUGUUUUAGUUUAGCCUUCCUUGUUUAUGCGAAGUACCUCUCAUCACUGCAUCAGUUAAUGGCUUCCUCUUCUUCUUCUUCCAUUACUCCUGAACUAGAGCAUGAGGUUUUCCUUAGUUUCUGCGGUGAGGACACCCGACAAAACUUUACCAGCCAUCUAGAUGAAGCCUUUCGUCGGAAAAAUAUUAAAACUUUCAUUGAUGAUAAGCUUAAUAGAGGAGAAGAAAUUUCUCCCUCUCUUUUGAAGGCAAUUGAACAUUCAAAGAUCUCGGUUAUCAUUUUCUCUAAAGACUACGCUUCCUCCAGAUGGUGUCUCAAAGAACUUGAAGAGAUUCUUAAAUGUAAGAAAGCGUAUGAUCAGAUCGCAAUGCCAAUCUUCCAUGACGUAGAUCCAUCUGAUGUCAGGAAUCAAACUGGGGAUUUUGAGAAAGCAUUUGCUGAGCUUGAAAAGCAUGUUAUGGUUGAUUCAGAGAUGUUGACGAGAUGGAGGACUGCAUUGAGGGAUGCAGCCAACCUAUCUGGUUAUGAUUCAAAGAACUAUAGGAAUGAGGCAGAGCUGGUAAAGGCUAUUGUUAAUGAUGUAUGGAAGAAAUUGAAUUACAACUCCCCAAUUAUUUCUUCUAAGAAACUGAUUGGACUAGAGUCAUCAAUCGAAGAGAUUGAAAAUUUAUUAUGUUCAAAGAGCAUUUGGAAGCUAGGAAUUUGGGGCAUGGGGGGCAUAGGAAAAACUACUCUUGCAGGUACUAUAUUUAACAAAAUCUCUAAACAGUUUAAAGAAUCUUACUUCAUUGAGAAAAUUGGAGAAAAAUCAGAGAAAAGUGGGGGAUUAGAUUAUUUGUGCCAAAAACUAAGAUCUGCAGUUCUAGGAGAUGAACAUCCCAAUCAUGAAUUCACCUUCACAAGAAGAAGUCUUAUUAGCAGAAAAAAAGUUCUCAUUGUGUUUGAUGAUGUAACGAAUUUAAAUCAAAUGCAAUGUUUAAUGGCAGUUUUUGAUGGCUUGGAUUCAUACAGUCGAAUCAUUAUAACAACAAGAGAUGAACAUGUGCUAAUAAAUUGUAAGGUGGAUUACAUUCAUGAGAUGACAAAGUUAUCUCCUGAUAAUGCUUUUCAACUUUUUGCCCUACAUGCUUUUAAAGGAAACUCUCAAACAGAAGAUUACAUCCACCUAUCAUCUAAAGUAGUAGGUUAUGCUGAAGGUCUUCCACUAGCUCUUGAAGUAUUAGGUUCCUUUCUAUUUAAGAGAACGAAGAGAGAAUGGGAAAGUGCACUAGAAAACUUGAGAACAAGUCUUGAUGCGAAUGUUCGAAAGGUAUUAAAAAUAAGUUUCGAAGGAUUAGAUGACAAACAAAAGUGUGUAUUUUUGGAUAUUGUAUGUUUCUUUAAAGGGUAUAAAAGAGAUUUUGUAGAAGCAAUCUUGAAAGCUCGUAACUUAGACCCUCAUAUUUGUAUAAAUGUUCUCAUUGAAAGGUGUCUCAUAACUACACCAUCUGAUAUCAUAACAAUGCAUGAUUUACUUGAACAAAUGGGUAGAGAAAUUGUUCAACAAGAGUCAAUUGAUAAUCCUGGCGAACGUAGUCGAUUGUGGGAUCAUGAGGAUAUAUUUUCAGUAUUGAAGAAUAAUACGGGAACUAGAGCAAUUCGAAGCAUAUGCUUGGAUAUGUCUAAAGUAGAAGAGUUGCAUUUAAAUCCUGAAGCUUUUAACAAAAUGCCAAACCUACGAUUCUUGAAAUUUUAUGGGUCUGAACGUGGAAAGAAGGUGCUUGAAUCUGAUUCCUCUGCAUUUCGCCGUAUCUUGAGAUGGUUGAAAAGAGAAAACUCCAAUGAUGGAAAGGUGCAUGGUUUUGAGAAACUUAAGUUUGAUUUCUAUGAGAUAAGGCACUUUUGCUUUCAUGGAUAUCCUGCCAAAUCAUUGCCGCCAAAUUUUAAUCCAAAGAACCUUGUUGCACUUUGCAUGCCUAAUAGCAAAGUUAAAAAACUUUGGACUGGUAACCAGGUUCUUGUUAAUUUGAAAUAUAUUGACCUCAGUCACUCUAAGCAUCUAUGUAGAAUACCAGAUUUGUCACUUAUGCCAAAUCUUGAGAGCUUGAAUCUUGAAGAUUGUACAAAUUUGCUUGAGAGUUUCUCAUCUAUCCAUAAUCUCCAUAAACUUGUUAUCUUGAAUCUACGAGGAUGCAGAAGCUUUAAUAAUCUUCCAAUUAGUGAUAGUUGCCAAUCUCUUCGAAAAGUUUAUCUCUCUGGUUGCUCAAAUCUUGAAAAAGUUCCAAAUCUCCCUAAUACAGUUGAAAAGUUAUAUCUAGAUGAAACUGCCAUUAAAGAACUUCCAUCAAUAGGGCAUUUAUUUAGACUAGUAAAAUUAAGUCUUAGAAAAUGUUCAAGGCUUAAGAGAUUACCAAAUAGUAUUUGUGAGUUGAAAUCCCUUAAAUAUCUUUGUCUCUCGGGUUGUUCCAAACUUGAUAGAUUGCCUAAUGACAUGGGAAAUUUACAAACUCUGGAGGAACUGAUACUGGAGGGAAUUUCUUUUGCAGAAAUAGCAACAUUUAUGGCAAGUUUGACCAACCUGAAGACAUUAUCUUUGACAAGAUGUAAGAUGCAAGAGCAAUUGGGUAUCCCACUCGUCGAUUUAUCUGUCUUCCAAAGAAUCGAAGAGCUAUGCCUGAUUGAUUGUUGCAUUGAAGUGUUACCCAACACUAUUGGCGAAUUACUCUCACUAGGAAGUUUAGAUCUUGACCAAAACAAUUUGGAGACGCUACCAGAGAGCAUCAAAGACCUGUCUAACCUGGAAGGGCUUUCUUUAAGUAAUUGCCAGAGGCUUAAAUACUUACCGGAGCUUCCAAGCAGUCUAGUGCAAAUUAUAGCAGUGAAUUGUGUUUCUCUUGAAUCAGUAUCAAAUUUAUUCCUACGUAUGGAUUCUGUUUUUGACAUAAUCGACUUCUCUAAUUGUUCAAACUUAAAAUUAGAGAUGACAAAUGCUCUCUUCUUGAAUAUUGAGAGAAGCGUAGCAGACGAUCACCGUCAAAUGCAGAAUAUCAGUUGUUCUUGGGGAUCGGCGAACAUUUUUUACUCUGGAUGUGAAAUUCCAAAGUGGUUUGACUUAAAAAGUAAUGAAUCUUUUAUAAAGUUCCCAGAAGGUUGGAUUAAUGAUAACUUAUUUGGUUUCGCUUUAUGUGCUGUUAUAUCAUCACAAGACUCUCAAAAACUUAGAAAUUUGAGUGUUGGAUUUCGCCUGAUUAUUAAUGGAGAGAUUAUUUCCAAUGAUGGGUUAAUGGACUCAGUAAAAUUUUGGCCUGGGACUCUUGAAGGUGAGAACAUUAUUGAAUCAGAUCAUAUAUUCAUAGCUUAUAGUUACAUUAAGAUGCCUGGGAAAUUUCCUCCACUCAAUUUGAAUAGCCAGGGUGCUGUUGAGUUCUUCAUUAAACAUGAUCGUAUGGUUCAAAGCCCAGUGAAAAAAUGUGGAGUGACUUUAUUGUAUCACAAAAAUGAUGAUUGGAGAAAAGAUCCAAGAGUGGACAAAAAUGAUGAAAGACCUCAUAAGCGAUUGAAACUUGAAGGUUGAAAUGUUGUUACAGAAAAGGUAAUCAGGUGCUGCUUCCAGAGGAAAUUUACUCCAUUUCUAAGGCCUCUUGUUUGCCUACUCUUCACGAUAUGCCUAAACUUGGAAGUUUUUCCUAUGGUGUUCUUUAUAGAUGAUGUGGCUUACGGCAUGGUAGUUUAAUAGUUUCAAGGUUGGCAACUAGGCGUGUGGACACAAAUUCCCUUGACUGUCAUUUUAAUAUUCUCCAGAUUUCUUGCCUGGAAUAGGAUUAUGUUACUAACUACUAUUUAAUUAGGUGUUAUAUGGUUACAGAUUUGGUUCUCUAGGCUAUGAAAGGGUAUUGGAUGCUCUUCGAUACUGCUGGUUUGUUGAGUCCUCGGUUAACAGCAGGAAACAAAUUGAUGCCGUACAUUUCAUUCAUGCCUUCCAUCUUACUGAAAGCUUUCUCCCUGUUCACUUCUUGAAGACAUACUUAAAGAAUUGAAGGAGUAACUCACAGGGAAAGUGUGUGAGUUCGGGUGGAGAUACUAGUGCACCGGUUAAUUUUCAUACUAAAGCAUAAUGAGAACUUGCUGCUUUGAAAGCUGUAGUUAGUUGUGUCCAAGAGUACAGGCUUGAACCUGACUAUCCUCUCGAUCCACUUCAGAAAAGGAUUGAACAACUGGAGAGGUCGAAAUCUGAUAAGAAAAGGGGUGGAGAUUUUGGUAGACGUCAACACUCCAAGAAACAAAGAGCAAAGUGAGGAUACGGUGGAUUUCUUUCUCACAGUGCCAAGGCAGCUCCCGGUAGGCUUGUUCCGCCUGUUUUCUGAUGUGUCGUGCACUUGUGAGCAAGACACAACAUUUUCUUUGACAGGGCAGCAUAUGGAGGAAUGCCUGAGAGAUAUCCUCUGGCUGGUCCAAACUCUUUACGAUUAUCAAGUUCAUAGCCAGCCUGUUUUUGCUCAGCAACCAAAUGAUCAAAGAAUAUGCUUUUAUCCCCACGAUGUAGUUAUCAAAUGCAAGAUUUGUGUGCAACCUUAGUGAAUGUGCAGAGAAUUUAUUUGUGAGUGAAUCACAUUUUCCCACCCAAGUUUGGCUGUAAAACCCUUCUUCAUCUCUAAUUGACAUCGAUAACAUUUCUUCA
Mangifera indica (mango) is the source of this 4748-nucleotide RNA transcript. It is a transcript of the gene named disease resistance protein RPP2B-like, with no coding region annotated. The record is from RefSeq and is a predicted model, not a curated record. NCBI's taxonomy places the organism in Eukaryota, Viridiplantae, Streptophyta, Magnoliopsida, Sapindales, Anacardiaceae. The transcript is spliced from 9 exons.